RNAcentral lists this ribosomal RNA (253 nucleotides) under uncultured bacterium. RNAcentral's name for it is "partial 16S ribosomal RNA". It matches the Rfam family "Bacterial small subunit ribosomal RNA", at positions 524 to 776 of the family's 1533-position model. RNAcentral also lists the same sequence under 1 other name. The record is from RNAcentral.
UACGUAGGGAGCAAGCGUUGUCCGGAAUCAUUGGGCGUAAAGAGCGCGUAGGUGGCUGUAUAAGUCCGUUGUGAAAGUCAAAGGCUCAACCUUUGAAAGCCGAUGGAUACUGUAGAGCUAGAGUACGGAAGAGGCGAGUGGAAUUCCUGGUGUAGCGGUGGAAUGCGCAGAUAUCAGGAGGAACACCAAUAGCGAAGGCAGCUCGCUGGGACGUUACUGACACUGAGGCGCGAAAGCGUGGGGAGCGAACAGG